AACACAUGCAAGUCGAGCGCACCUUCGGGUGAGCGGCGGACGGGUGAGUAACGCGUGGGAACGUGCCCUUCUCUACGGAAUAGCCAUUGGAAACGAUGGGUAAUACCGUAUACGCCCUUCGGGGGAAAGAUUUAUCGGAGAAGGAUCGGCCCGCGUUAGAUUAGAUAGUUGGUGGGGUAAUGGCCUACCAAGUCUACGAUCUAUAGCUGGUUUUAGAGGAUGAUCAGCCACACUGGGACUGAGACACGGCCCAGACUCCUACGGGAGGCAGCAGUGGGGAAUCUUAGACAAUGGGCGCAAGCCUGAUCUAGCCAUGCCGCGUGAGUGAUGAAGGCCUUAGGGUCGUAAAGCUCUUUCGCCAGGGAUGAUAAUGACAGUACCUGGUAAAGAAACCCCGGCUAACUCCGUGCCAGCAGCCGCGGUAAUACGGAGGGGGCUAGCGUUGUUCGGAAUUACUGGGCGUAAAGCGCACGUAGGCGGAUUGGAAAGUAUGGGGUGAAAUCCCGGGGCUCAACCCCGGAACGGCCUCAUAAACUUCCAGUCUGGAGUUCGAGAGAGGUGAGUGGAAUUCCGAGUGUAGAGGUGAAAUUCGUAGAUAUUCGGAGGAACACCAGUGGCGAAGGCGGCUCACUGGCUCGAUACUGACGCUGAGGUGCGAAAGUGUG
RNAcentral lists this ribosomal RNA (665 nucleotides) under uncultured bacterium. RNAcentral's name for it is "bacterial SSU rRNA". It matches the Rfam family "Bacterial small subunit ribosomal RNA", at positions 50 to 763 of the family's 1533-position model. The record is from RNAcentral.